This 576-nucleotide ribosomal RNA is filed under the name Triticum aestivum (bread wheat). RNAcentral describes it as "partial small subunit ribosomal RNA". Lineage: Eukaryota; Viridiplantae; Streptophyta; Magnoliopsida; Poales; Poaceae. The record is from RNAcentral.
AUGGUGGAUCCUGAGAGAGGUAGAGAUACGCCCUCGAUCGAGCAAGACCGGCGCCCCGGAGAGGGAGCGACAUCUAUCUCAGUGGGGGAGAACGGCGGUCCUGCGGAUUGUAUGGAGGUAGACGAUAUCAAAGCCUCUAGCGUGGAUCAGAACGAACCAAACCCAGGAAUGGAAAACAAGCCUGGCACCGAGACAAUUGAUGUUGAGCACAGGGAGGAGGAUGAUACCCAACCAGCGCAAGUCGUCGAAGAAGACAACAGCGCCCAAGCAGAUGAAGAUGGAUGGAUAAGACGUCAGAGGAACAAAAAAGGGAAACCAUGCAGAGCAGCAGAGGAUGGAAGCCUUGGCACAAUCGAGAGGGCGAUGGAUGAAGCUGUGAAGCUCGGAAAGAAAAUUGUCUUUGAACCAGCUGUGGGCAUGUCCUUCAACUCUGAGCAGGAGGCAUACGAGUUUUACAAUGCAUAUUCAUGGGAAGUCGGAGUUGGCACAAUCGAUGGCUGGAUUAAAACGCCACCCCCACUACUGAAACAUAAAGAGCCGUCCAAAAACAGUGCGGAACCUUGCAUAGUGAGUUGA